CUAAAGUGAAAGAUGGUUUUGCUAUCACUUAUAGAUGGACCCGCGCCGUAUUAGCUAGUUGGUAAGGUAACGGCUUACCAAGGCGACGAUACGUAGCCGACCUGAGAGGGUGAUCGGCCACACUGGAACUGAGACACGGUCCAGACUCCUACGGGAGGCAGCAGUAGGGAAUCUUCCGCAAUGGGCGAAAGCCUGACGGAGCAACGCCGCGUGAGUGAUGAAGGGUUUCGGCUCGUAAAACUCUGUUAUUAGGGAAGAACAAACGUGUAAGUAACUGUGCACGUCUUGACGGUACCUAAUCAGAAAGCCACGGCUAACUACGUGCCAGCAGCCGCGGUAAUACGUAGGUGGCAAGCGUUAUCCGGAAUUAUUGGGCGUAAAGCGCGCGUAGGCGGUUUCUUAAGUCUGAUGUGAAAGCCCACGGCUCAACCGUGGAGGGUCAUUGGAAACUGG
This 453-nucleotide ribosomal RNA is filed under the name Staphylococcus aureus. RNAcentral describes it as "bacterial SSU rRNA". It matches the Rfam family "Bacterial small subunit ribosomal RNA", at positions 195 to 636 of the family's 1533-position model. Lineage: Bacteria; Bacillati; Bacillota; Bacilli; Caryophanales; Staphylococcaceae. The record is from RNAcentral.